ACGAACGCUGGCGGCGUGCUUAACACAUGCAAGUCGAACGAAGAGCGAUGGAAGCUUGCUUCUAUCAAUCUUAGUGGCGAACGGGUGAGUAACGCGUAAUCAACCUGCCCUUCAGAGGGGGACAACAGUUGGAAACGACUGCUAAUACCGCAUACGAUCUAACCUCGGCAUCGAGGAUAGAUGAAAGGUGGCCUCUACAUGUAAGCUAUCACUGAAGGAGGGGAUUGCGUCUGAUUAGCUAGUUGGAGGGGUAACGGCCCACCAAGGCGAUGAUCAGUAGCCGGUCUGAGAGGAUGAACGGCCACAUUGGGACUGAGACACGGCCCAGACUCCUACGGGAGGCAGCAGUGGGGAAUCUUCCGCAAUGGACGAAAGUCUGACGGAGCAACGCCGCGGGAGUGAUGACGGCCUUCGGGUUGUAAAGCUCUGUUAAUCGGGACGAAAGGCCUUCUUGCGAAUAGUGAGAAGGAUUGACGGUACCGGAAUAGAAAGCCACGGCUAACUACGUG
This 509-nucleotide ribosomal RNA is filed under the name uncultured bacterium. RNAcentral's name for it is "partial 16S ribosomal RNA". It matches the Rfam family "Bacterial small subunit ribosomal RNA", at positions 29 to 507 of the family's 1533-position model. The record is from RNAcentral.